UGUAUGUAUGUGUGAACAUAUGUUAUAUGUAUGAUGUAUGUAUGUAUCUAUAAUGCAUAUAGGACAGAGAAAUUACGCGAUCAAUUUGUACGGUCCGCGAAUGCAUAUUUUUAUGAUAAAUUACAUGUACAACUCGUACAACAGCUUUUGUUACUUGUCUAACAACACAGAAAGAAACGGGAGUUGUUUUUGUGUAAUAGAAUUACGCUAUCAAAGUGCAGGACCUAUUACGUAUUAUAACAAUAAUGAUGUCGAUGGCAAUGGUAAACGAUGGGGCGAUGAUGGUAACGAAAUGCGAUUACGAUAAACGAUAGUAAAAACGACGAUAACGCUGUUAAUAACGGUAUCAAUGAUAAUGGCAAUGUUAAAGUGGCGGCAAUGAGUAUAAUAGAACAUGAAAUAUGAAUCAUGGUACUGAUAUCGAUAAGAAUAGUAAUAACGAUAAUAAUAAGUUCGUAAUGAAAUAUACACAUACAUAAACACGUACAUCCUCCGAGAAACAACCACAGUAUGACUUACUUUUAAUGAUUAAUAUACUUCUUUUAACUCCUGAACCGUUUUAUGUGACUAACUACACAGUGGUGCA
Eufriesea mexicana is the source of this 586-nucleotide long non-coding RNA. RefSeq lists it as uncharacterized. The transcript is spliced from 3 exons. The record is from RefSeq and is a predicted model, not a curated record. Lineage: Eukaryota; Metazoa; Arthropoda; Insecta; Hymenoptera; Apidae.